UGUACCCAUGCUGGGUGAAGGGGCAUCUGGUUAGUGGUGCCCAUCAUAUAGCAGCAGCCAGGCACAAAACCAUUUCUUGCUUAUCCCAGCAUGGUUUUAGGUCUGUGCCCUGUGCCCUCGCUCGGGGUGUGUGU
Molecule: small nucleolar RNA, 134 nt
Organism: Sorex fumeus (smoky shrew)
Lineage: Eukaryota; Metazoa; Chordata; Mammalia; Eulipotyphla; Soricidae
Product: small nucleolar RNA SNORA48
Exons: 1
Source: RefSeq, a predicted model, not a curated record